AUGUUAACGUAUGAUAUGUUAACAUCGGUUUUUUAAAAAACCGAUGUUAAUGCAUAUACGUUAACAU
Glycine max (soybean) is the source of this 67-nucleotide non-coding RNA. Lineage: Eukaryota; Viridiplantae; Streptophyta; Magnoliopsida; Fabales; Fabaceae. The record is from Rfam.